This 292-nucleotide ribosomal RNA is filed under the name uncultured Planctomycetota bacterium. RNAcentral describes it as "uncultured planctomycete partial 16S ribosomal RNA". Lineage: Bacteria; Pseudomonadati; Planctomycetota. The record is from RNAcentral.
GGACUACUGGGGUUUCUAAUCCCGUUUGCUCCCCUGGCUUUCGCGCCUCAGCGUCAGUAGAGGUCCAGCGCGUCGCUUUCGCCACCGGCGUUCCUUCCGAUAUCUACGCAUUUCACCGCUCCACCGGAAGUUCCACACGCCCCUACCUCCCUCGAGACGACCAGUAUCCAAGGCACUUCUGCAGUUGAGCUGCAGGAUUUCACCCCGGACUUUGCCGCCCGCCUACGCGCCCUUUAAGCCCAGUGAUUCCGAACAACGUUCGCACGGUUCGUCUUACCGCGGCUGCUGGCAC